This 404-nucleotide ribosomal RNA is filed under the name uncultured prokaryote. RNAcentral's name for it is "bacterial SSU rRNA". It matches the Rfam family "Bacterial small subunit ribosomal RNA", at positions 355 to 776 of the family's 1533-position model. RNAcentral also lists the same sequence under 1 other name. The record is from RNAcentral.
UGGGGAAUAUUGGUCAAUGGGGGCAACCCUGAACCAGCAAUGCCGCGUGAAGGAAGAAGGCCUUCGGGUUGUAAACUUCUUUGACCAGGGACGAUAAUGACGGUACCUGGAAAACAAGCCACGGCUAACUACGUGCCAGCAGCCGCGGUAAUACGUAGGUGGCGAGCGUUGUCCGGAUUUACUGGGUGUAAAGGGCGUGUAGGCGGGACUGCAAGUCAGAUGUGAAAUCCAGGGGCUUAACCCUUGAACUGCAUUUGAAACUGUGGUUCUUGAGUGAUGGAGAGGCAGGCGGAAUUCCUUGUGUAGCGGUGAAAUGCGUAGAUAUAAGGAGGAACACCAGUGGCGAAGGCGGCCUGCUGGACAUUAACUGACGCUGAGGCGCGAAAGCGUGGGGAGCAAACAGG